This 501-nucleotide ribosomal RNA is filed under the name Triticum aestivum (bread wheat). RNAcentral's name for it is "partial small subunit ribosomal RNA". Lineage: Eukaryota; Viridiplantae; Streptophyta; Magnoliopsida; Poales; Poaceae. The record is from RNAcentral.
AUGGAGGCCUCGCUCCUCUCGCGUGCCGCCUCAGCCGCCUUCGCCCUCCGCGGUGGCGCCAGGCUCCUCCCCACGGAAACCCCCUUCCUCCUCCCCCUCCUCCCGCUCCUCCUCAUCCUCCUCGCCACCGCCACCGGCACGCUUCCUGUGGUCGUAACCCUGCCACUGCAACCACCGCCUCGAUCCACCAGGUACUUGAUGCCUCUUGGUCAGAAGAUGAUGGCGAGUUCCUCAUUCCAAUUGUGUUUAUAUUGUGUAGGUUUCUUCGUCAUGAUCUGGAUUGCCGCAGUCAUGUUCAAGUCUAAUGAUAUCUUGAACAAGAAGACCGCUCUCAAGGGGGAGAAGAAAAUGCCAAUGCUUAUAGGGAUUGUAGUACUAUUCACCAUUCAUGUGUUUGGAGUCUACUGGUGGUACAGGAAUGAUGACCUUGUUAGACCGUUGGUGAUGCUUCCUCCAAAAGAAAUACCACCAUUCUGGCAUGCUAUAUUUUCACUGCGGUAA